Molecule: RNA transcript, 2916 nt
Organism: Cataglyphis hispanica
Lineage: Eukaryota; Metazoa; Arthropoda; Insecta; Hymenoptera; Formicidae
Gene: Sec61alpha
Gene name: protein transport protein Sec61 subunit alpha
Exons: 10
Source: RefSeq, a predicted model, not a curated record
AUACGUGUCGGCGGGGUGAGCCACGACUCUGCUACGCUUUGCCAGUCGAGCGUAUACGCGGCCGCUUUUUCGUUCGUUUUAUGACAGAGAAGGAGAGAGAGAAAGAGCGUAUUCUCGGCGGUGUGAUCUUCGUGAUCCUGUGAGGGACGAUCAUUUGAUUCGUAGUGCUAGUCGCUUCAACGUCAAGACAAAAUGGGAUUCAAGUUUCUCGAGGUGAUAAAACCGUUCUGCAGUAUAUUGCCGGAAAUAGCGAAGCCACAACGAAAGAUUCAGUUUAGGGAAAAAGUACUAUGGACGGCAAUUACAUUGUUUAUUUUUCUAGUAUGUUGCCAGAUUCCAUUAUUUGGUAUCAUGUCUUCAGACAGUGCAGAUCCAUUUUAUUGGAUCCGUGUGAUACUUGCGUCAAACAGAGGAACGUUGAUGGAAUUGGGUAUCUCGCCAAUCGUUACUUCCGGUCUUAUUAUGCAACUGCUGCACGGUGCAAAGAUCAUUGAGGUCGGUGAUACACCAAAAGAUAGGGCGUUAUUCAAUGGUGCACAAAAAUUGUUUGGCAUGGUUAUUACUGUUGGGCAAGCUAUUGUUUAUGUAAUGACUGGAAUGUAUGGAGAUCCAACUGAAAUUGGAGCUGGAGUUUGUCUUUUGAUUAUUAUCCAAUUGUUUGUCGCUGGACUUAUAGUAUUAUUAUUGGAUGAGCUUCUUCAAAAAGGAUAUGGAUUGGGAAGUGGAAUAUCUCUCUUUAUUGCUACUAACAUUUGUGAGACUAUUGUUUGGAAAGCAUUCUCACCAGCCACAGUUAACACUGGUCGUGGUACGGAAUUUGAAGGCGCUGUAAUUGCUUUGUUCCACUUACUGGCUACUAGACAAGACAAAGUCCGUGCCCUCCGAGAAGCAUUUUACAGACAGAAUCUUCCAAAUCUGAUGAACCUUCUCGCUACUAUUUUAGUGUUUGCUAUCGUUAUCUACUUCCAAGGCUUCCGUGUAGAUCUUCCGAUCAAAUCUGCCAGAUAUCGCGGUCAAUACAGCAGCUAUCCGAUCAAACUAUUUUACACCAGUAAUAUCCCGAUCAUCUUGCAAUCAGCCUUGGUGUCCAACUUAUAUGUCAUUUCUCAAAUGUUGGCCGUUAAAUUCCAAGGAAAUCUCAUAGUAAAUCUGUUGGGCGUUUGGUCGGAUGUUGGUGGCGGUGGUCCCGCCAGAUCGUAUCCAGUCGGUGGAUUAUGUUAUUACUUAUCACCACCAGAAUCGGUCGGCCAUAUCGUUCAAGAUCCCGUCCAUGCCGUGCUCUAUAUUCUCUUCAUGCUUGGCUCAUGCGCCUUCUUCUCCAAGACAUGGAUCGAAGUUUCUGGAAGCUCGGCGAAGGAUGUUGCCAAACAAUUGAGAGAACAGCAGAUGGUAAUGCGAGGUCAUAGAGACAAUUCCAUGAUUCGCGAACUGAAUCGGUAUAUUCCAACUGCCGCAGCAUUUGGUGGACUGUGCAUCGGAGCUCUCUCUGUGCUGGCGGAUUUUCUGGGCGCUAUUGGUUCCGGUACCGGUAUCUUACUCGCUGUCACCAUCAUAUAUCAAUACUUCGAAAUUUUUGUUAAGGAGCAAAGUGAAAUGGGUGGCAUGAGCACAUUACUUUUCUAAACUUAGUUCAACUAUAGAUUUGAAAAGUAAACUUUUUUUUAUUCUGAAGAACUACAUAAUUUAUUGUAAGAUAAGAGACUUUUGAUCGAAUUGGCAGAGUUUGUGUAUGUGUAUGUGUUGUGUGUGAAAGUGUGUGUGUGUUAAAGUGUGUGUGUGUGUGUAUGUAUGACAAACUCACGGAUGUAGACAUAUACUAACGCCAAUCGAAGGUUCCCCUCCCCCAUUUCACCCGCGUUAUACAUAAAAUCGCACAUAUUUAACUUACGAUUGUAUAUUGUUGAUUCUAUGCUCAAAAGAUUGUGUCAGUGACUUUCCAAAAAAAAAAAAAAAUACACUUUUUUGUAGGAUAUAUUAACGUAAUUAUUGAGACACGUUAAACAUUAAUAAUGCUAUACAAACUGUUCACAAAAAAAUCAUCAAAAAUCAUUAGCCUGAUAAAGGCAAGAACAUACAUUGACAGAAUGUAGAGAUUAAGAACUCAGAUAUGCAACAAUUAAAAUGCUCGCAAAAUAUAAACGCGGAAGAUAUCUCGCAAGAUUUGAUGCAAUCGAUAUCUUUCAUACAAUAAGCAGUAUGUACAUAGUAAGAAAAUAAUUGAAUAUUUCCAACAUUUUUUACUAGCGUUUUUGGGGCUCUGCGUCAUGAAGAAGAGCCGCAUGAAGAGUCAAUCGCAUAUACAUACGAGUAAAAUCGUGACGUUUAUAUUAAUUGAACCAAUAUAUGAUUACGAAUAUAGUCAUUUCAGGACGAGACACCCACCUAGGGUAUUCGUACAGCAAUUCGAACAGCGUUCGUUCAUCUUGGGUACCAUUCAUUCCUGUAUUGAUAAUAAUAUGAAGAUCGAGAAUUUGUACCUGGUGCGGCUGUAACACAGGCAGAAUAUCUCUAAUACUCGCCAAUGGCGGUGGUAAUAAUUGACCAAGCGCCAUUAUAUUGACGAGCGAGACACCUUCCUCCGUAUUCCAAUUAGCCAUCACGGUUGCAGUAAUACCUCGCAGUAAAACGGAACAAUAUGCUAACGCUGGUCUGUACCAGGCAGUCAAUUCUAAUAAUGUCCAUAGUAGAGGCGUGCUUAACAGAUCCAACAGAGUAACGAUAUCGUUCGCCAAAUCAAAGUUGUCGGUUCUCAUUAACAAAGAAGAUAUUUGAUACAAAUUUGAUCUGAGGGCUCUGGUAAUCAUCGAUUGUAAUAUUGGCGCUUUACUCGAUUUUUCCCACCUAAAUGAAAUAUAAAAACAAAAUUAUAAUUAUUAUAUUAAACUAUAUAUAAAAAAUAUACAUAAUUAUCAGAAA